This 513-nucleotide ribosomal RNA is filed under the name Metschnikowia australis. RNAcentral's name for it is "eukaryotic LSU rRNA". It matches the Rfam family "Eukaryotic large subunit ribosomal RNA", at positions 62 to 648 of the family's 3401-position model. The record is from RNAcentral. Lineage: Eukaryota; Fungi; Ascomycota; Pichiomycetes; Serinales; Metschnikowiaceae.
AAACCAACAGGGAUUGCCUCAGUAACGGCGAGUGAAGCGGCAAAAGCUCAAAUUUGAAAUCCCCCGGGAAUUGUAAUUUGAAGGUGGCCUCAGUUAGUCCAAACAUUCUUAAGUCCAUUGGAAAAUGGCGCCAUGGAGGGUGAUAGCCCCGUAAAGAUGUCGUUUGUUCUAUUUUCUCUGGCCACCAAAGAGUCGAGUUGUUUGGGAAUGCAGCUCUAAGUGGGUGGUAAAUUCCAUCUAAAGCUAAAUAUUGGCGAGAGACCGAUAGCGAACAAGUACAGUGAUGGAAAGAUGAAAAGCACUUUGAAAAGAGAGUGAAAAAGUACGUGAAAUUGUUGAAAGGGAAGGGCUUGCAAGCAGACACAACCUCGUGUUGGGCCAGCAUCGGGGCGAGAGGAAGUAAAAACGAUUUGGAAAUGUAACUUUCGAGUAUUAUAGACCUUAUCCCUCCCUUCCAUCUCAUCCCGAGGCCUGCGGUUAUCCUAGGAUGCUGGCGUAAUGGUUGCAAGUCGC